UAACACGUAGGUAACCUGCCCAUGUGUCCGGGAUAACUGCUGGAAACGGUAGCUAAAACCGGAUAGGUAUACAGAGCGCAUGCUCAGUAUAUUAAAGCGCCCUUCAAGGCGUGAACAUGGAUGGACCUGCGGCGCAUUAGCUAGUUGGUGAGGUAACGGCCCACCAAGGCGAUGAUGCGUAGCCGGCCUGAGAGGGUAAACGGCCACAUUGGACUGAGACACGGCCCAA
This 229-nucleotide ribosomal RNA is filed under the name uncultured bacterium. Its description in RNAcentral is "partial 16S ribosomal RNA". It matches the Rfam family "Bacterial small subunit ribosomal RNA", at positions 111 to 334 of the family's 1533-position model. The record is from RNAcentral.